Molecule: long non-coding RNA, 1641 nt
Organism: Anguilla rostrata (American eel)
Lineage: Eukaryota; Metazoa; Chordata; Actinopteri; Anguilliformes; Anguillidae
Exons: 3
Source: RefSeq, a predicted model, not a curated record
UUGGCGCAGUCUCCACUUCUCCAGCGCUGUUUGACUCCAGCGAGUUCUUCCCAGCUGACUCAGAUUGCGUUUUGUAAUCAGUGGACCUGAGGACAGAAGAGUUUGAGUCCACAGUGUGCACACCCUCGGCAUAGAAAGGCUUUUAAACCUUUGAAUGGGCAAGAGACCUGCAUAAGACAGAAGUCGUUGAAAAUAACCCUGUUGAGUGACAGGGAUCAUUUGGAAACGACACCGCAUGGACGUGUGAAACCCCCGGUGCACAGAUUUGAAUUUAAAUUGAAGGAAGCGAACAAUACGCCUGUCGUAAUUCCUUUCGACGCCGCGCUAAUCUCCCAAAUGGAAAGCAAAGCCGUGUGAAGGCCCCCUCAAGUAGCCUAAAUCUGCAUGUCCUUGGACUGUGGGAGGAAACCGGAGUACCCGCUACGGGGAGAACAUGCGGACUCCACGCAGAAAGGCCCCGGCAGAGAUUCGAACCCGCAACCUUCUUGCUGUGAGGCGACAGCGCUAUCCACCGCACGACCGUGCCAGCCGUGUCAGACUCAAAUCAACUCUGCUGGAGUUGAUUUAACACUGAGAAUUUUGGUGGUGAGGCUUUGUGGGGAGCAUUGACAAGAUAAUCACUCUCUGAAAAAAAAAAACCCCCCAAAAAAAACAAACCCAGGCUUGUACGGAGAGUGAAGAAAAAGAAAAACCCAUUUCACAGCUGUGUGCCGAAGUACAUAUUUAGGGCUUGAUACCCGAGGACAGGUGACAGCUUGUCAAAAAGCCAUCGCUACAGGUUACGGAUCGGGGGCCACGGAUUGGCCCGUAGGUUGCUACGCGAGCUUUGUUUUGUCUGUGCUGCCGAGCCCGGACGAGAAAAAAGGAAGGAGCACACUGCAGCGCUGCCGUCUAAUUACUUCUCUGCCUUGGGUCCUCAGACGUCUUGUUACGGCAAAAUUGAUGAUGUAGGUCCUCCCUCCGUCCGUGACUCCAAUCUAUUAAUUGGGAAUCCGCGGACAUGAUGGAUCACUAGUGAAUCAUGGGAGUAUAAGAAAUGCUAAAAACAAAAAAGAAAAAAAAAAGUUUGACUAAUUAAAUUUCACUCGUGUGCUGGGACAGUCCUAAUGGCUCAUUUUUUUGUGCAGUAGACAUUUCGUCUGUCCUUUGUUCUUUUGCAAUUAUGAGCCUGUCGUGUCUCUUUAGCUAACUGUCUCCUUGACAUUUCUCGAGUCCUAAAACGUUUCGAAACUUUUCAAAACAUUAGCUUCUGAAACCCCCGGAAAAUCACCGUUGCUUUGAAAGGAAGAUUAGUGAAAUACAAACAGCUUUUCUUUUUCUUUUUUUCUUCCACAGGCUCGUAAAUGAGCACCUUUACAAUUUGCCCACGAUGUCUGUGGGCCGUUUCCAUGACAUAACUGCAUUGUGGCUGAUGCACCUCCGAUUGACACGUCUCUAGCACCGCUAAAACGGUGCCGAUUUCUUUCUUUUCUUUUCUUUUUCUCCUUCCUUUCUUUGUUUUGAUGGCUUUGCAUCGCGCAAAGCUUUUCGUUCUAAGCGAAACCGGGCCAGGAAAGCUCUGAGUCCUCUCGGGCAGAAAAUCACGCGAGUUCAGUGCGGAGACGAGCCGGCCUUUUUCAAGGGGAAAGGAUUUCCUAACGC